This 1054-nucleotide unclassified non-coding RNA is filed under the name Ooceraea biroi (clonal raider ant). Its description in RNAcentral is "mitochondrial fission regulator 2, transcript variant X1". Lineage: Eukaryota; Metazoa; Arthropoda; Insecta; Hymenoptera; Formicidae. The record is from RNAcentral.
CUGACACAUCUUAUUACGAGAAUGGACUAUGAUACCGCCCGAAGUGUGCUAAAUUUAUAAACAGCCUGCCCAAAGCUUUCCGAUGAUUUAUAUAAUAAAGGAAAAAAUGAUUCUAUCGGGAGUGCUCGCAUGGGCAUUCUUUUUUAUUUGAUCAAUCACUAAACAACUUUAAACGAGGAAGUAUGAUCGAUCGUGAACAUCUGAUGGGUGAUAUAAAAUAUUACGGAAAAAGGAGAAGCAUCGUAAGGAGAAUUGGGUCCUUUUUACCACUGAAACCACUACCGAAAAUAUAUGUCAGCGUAACACCAUUGCAUUCAAUGACAAGUUCAAUGAUUAACGAAGAAUCCACUAGCAAUUAUGCUGACGCAAAUGGAUAUGAUUCUUCAAGACUUUUCAGCAGUAGGCCAGACCUAUUAGAACCUAUUAGUUUUGGAUCUGAAGUACGAUUGCUUGCACUGGAACAAGAAUUGCAAGAACUUAGGGAACAAAUUUCAACAAUUGUGAAAAAUAAUAAACUGUCUAAACAUGCAUCUAUUGCAUCUUUGUCCAAUAAAGUUGACGAUGGAGAACCUUUGUCAGUACCGCCACCACCUCCGCUUCCGCCACCUACGCCGCAUAUCGCCAGGAGGGCUAGUUUACAAGAUCACAAAAUUGAAGAUCGUAUGAGGAUUUCACUGAGUGUACAAAACUCGACGGGUGAUAUGCUUAAAGAUAUUGACAAUGUAAAAUUGAAGCCAAUUGCAAGAUUUUCGGGGAAAUCGGAACAAUUGACCUCUCAAACUUACUCAAAAUGAAGUCACGUAUAUUGUCUCUUGUAUUCUCAUAAGCCGGCGAGAGUACAUGGCCUCCAACCGGUAAGGCUUCUCAUUGCCAUCUUUUGAUGAGUGGUUCCAUCAUGAAGCUUGACAUUAGCUAUGAUUACUCAAAAUUUCGAGGCACUAUCAUGCCUGCGUUAUUAGUUUUUAUAUUAAAAGAGAUAAUAUCUUAUUGAUGCUCAUCGAAAAAACAUGCUUCGUAGCGCAUAUAUUGAUGGAAUAUCAAACAGACGCCAAAA